RNAcentral lists this ribosomal RNA (253 nucleotides) under uncultured bacterium. RNAcentral describes it as "partial 16S ribosomal RNA". It matches the Rfam family "Bacterial small subunit ribosomal RNA", at positions 524 to 776 of the family's 1533-position model. The record is from RNAcentral.
UACAGAGGGUGCGAGCGUUCAUCGGAAUUACUGGGCGUAAAGCGUGCGUAGACUGUUUCGUCAGUCGGGUGUGAAAGCCCCGGGCUCAACCUGGGAAUUGCAUUCGAGACUGCGUAGCUAGGGUGCGGAAGAGGGAAGCGGAAUUCACGGUGUAGCAGUGAAAUGCGUAGAUAUCGUGAGGAACACCAGAGGCGAAGGCGGUUACCUGGACAGUUACUGACGCUCAGGCACGAAAGCAUGGGGAGCAAAAGGG